AGGGGAGUAGCUCAAUUGGCAGAGCGCCGGCCUCCAAAGCCGGAGGGUGCAAGUUCAACUCCUGCCUCCCCUG
This 73-nucleotide transfer RNA is filed under the name Microvirga subterranea. It matches the Rfam family "tRNA". Rfam says of the family: Transfer RNA (tRNA) molecules are approximately 80 nucleotides in length. Their secondary structure includes four short double-helical elements and three loops (D, anti-codon, and T loops). Lineage: Bacteria; Pseudomonadati; Pseudomonadota; Alphaproteobacteria; Hyphomicrobiales; Methylobacteriaceae. The record is from Rfam by way of RNAcentral.